AGCAGCCGCGGUAAUUCCAGCUCCAAUAGCGUAUAUUAAAGUUGCUGCAGUUAAAAAGCUCGUAGUUGAAUUUCGGGACCAUCAUGUCGGUCGUGCCUCGGUACGUACUGGCAUUGUUGGUUUCUUUCUUCUGACGAACCAUGAUGUCAUUUAUUUGGUGUCGUGGGAAAUCAGGACUGUUACUUUGAAAAAUUAGAGUGUUUAAAGCAGGCUCACGCUUGAAUACAUUAGCAUGGAAUAAUGAAAUAGGACGUUUGAUUCUAUUUUGUUGGUUUCUAGGAUCGACGUAAUGAUUAAUAGGGAUAGUUGGGGGCAUUAGUAUUCAAUUGUCAGAGGUGAAAUUCUUGGAUUUAUUGAAGACUAACUACUGCGAAAGCAUUUGCCAAGGAUGUUUUCAUUAAUCAAGAACGAAAGUUAGGGGAUCGAAGACGAUCAGAUACCGUCGUAGUCUUAACCAUAAACUAUGCCGACUAGGGAUCGGAUGAU
RNAcentral lists this ribosomal RNA (486 nucleotides) under uncultured Glomus. Its description in RNAcentral is "SSU rRNA". It matches the Rfam family "Eukaryotic small subunit ribosomal RNA", at positions 569 to 1061 of the family's 1831-position model. Lineage: Eukaryota; Fungi; Glomeromycota; Glomeromycetes; Glomerales; Glomeraceae. The record is from RNAcentral.